RNAcentral lists this ribosomal RNA (200 nucleotides) under uncultured bacterium. RNAcentral describes it as "partial 16S ribosomal RNA". It matches the Rfam family "Bacterial small subunit ribosomal RNA", at positions 28 to 233 of the family's 1533-position model. The record is from RNAcentral.
GAUGAACGCUAGCGGCAGGCUUAACACAUGCAAGUCGAGCGCGAAAGUUCUUCGGAAUGAGUAAAGCGGCGGACGGGUGAGUAAUACAUGGGAAUCUGCCUGGUAGUGGGGGACAACGUUUCGAAAGGAACGCUAAUACCGCAUACGCCCUACGGGGGAAAGGGGGGAUCUUCGGACCUCUCGCUAUCAGAUGGAGCCCA